AAGUCAUGGUGUGGGCAUUAUCUGAGUAUAUUUUUGAAUCUAUCUCACGCUUCAUAGAGAGAUUAAGUGUCAUUCUGUCUAAAGCUAGCAAUUAAAUUUCGUGUAUGU
Small nucleolar RNA from Zingiber officinale, 108 nucleotides. NCBI's taxonomy places the organism in Eukaryota, Viridiplantae, Streptophyta, Magnoliopsida, Zingiberales, Zingiberaceae. The record is from RefSeq and is a predicted model, not a curated record.